AGCCAGACUCCUACGGGAGGCAGCAGUGGGGAAUAUUGGGCAAUGGAGGCAACUCUUACCCAGCAAUGCCGCGUGAAUGAAGAAGGUCUUCGGAUUGUAAAGUUCUUUAAUUGGGGACGAAAAAAAUGACGGUACCCAAGGAAUAAGCCCCGGCUAACUACGUGCCAGCAGCCGCGGUAAUACGUAGGGGGCAAGCGUUGUUCGGAAUGACUGGGCGUAAAGGGAGCGUAGACGGCGAAGUAAGCCUGAAGUGGAAGCCCGCGGCCCAACCGCGGAACUGCUUUGGGAACUGUUUUGCUGGAGUAUGGGAGGGGUAAGCGGAAUUCCUGGUGUAGCGGUGAAAUGCGUAGAUAUCAGGAGGAACACCGGUGGCGAAGGCGGCUUACUGGACCAUGACUGACGUUGAGGCUCGAAAGCGUGGGGAGCGAACAGGAUUAGAUACCCUUGUA
This 449-nucleotide ribosomal RNA is filed under the name uncultured bacterium. Its description in RNAcentral is "bacterial SSU rRNA". It matches the Rfam family "Bacterial small subunit ribosomal RNA", at positions 329 to 792 of the family's 1533-position model. The record is from RNAcentral.